GAAAACAAAGGAAUAAGCAUGAAAAUAUUUUCUUGGAGAUCAUAAUUACAUAAUUCUUGAUUUAUGCUAAAAAAUAAAGAUAUGUGGGAACUUUUGGCAUUCACACGGAUACUCCUCUCCAGCAAAAACUCUUCUGCGUGGAUCAGCGCUCUUGCUUGCAGCACUGCGCUCAGUAGGGUGGAUGGAGAGGCUCCCCUCUUACGGGUAUUCUCAUCAUUUAUUAAGCACCUACUGUGUGUCAGGUGCCAUGCCAGGUGCAGGGGACACAUCCUGUGAACAGGUGGACACGUUAGAGAGGCUGUCCCUAUUGAGGUAAGAGCUCUGACCGGAUGCACAGAAAGGCAUGACCAGCCCAGUGUGGGCAAAGCGCGCCUUCCCGGAGGAAGUGAAGUCCAAAGUCUAAAUGGGAACAGAAUGACGAACUAGAAUGUGCUCAGGGACUUCCCUGGUGGUCCACUGGUUAAGACUCCGCAUUCCCAACGCAGGGGACAUGGGUUCGAUAUCUGGUUGGGGAACUGAGAUCCUGCAUGACGGCCAAAGGGAAAAAAGAAAAAAAAAAGAAUGAGCCCAGCAAAAAGAGACAAGGCGGGAGAGGGCUGGAGGCACACACAAGGGCCCAGAGGAGCGAGGAAGCCCACCCCUCAGGGAACCAGGGGGAGUUGAGUGGGGUGGAAUAUAGUGUGGAAGGGAAAAGUGGGGGAGAGGAAGGUGGAGAGGUAAUCACGGGCCCUAUCAGGGAAUCAGGACCAUCCCAAGGCCCGUAAGAGACACUGAAGAGCUUAAAGCCCACCGUGCAUGAUUUGAUCUGUGUGUUUAGGGGGCCUUGGACUGCUGGGUGGGGCAAAGGAGGCAGAGAUGGUUGCAAAAGUUCAGUGGUGUGGUAGACGGAAAAACAGACCUCCAAACUACAGCUGCAUCCUAGUCCCUGGAACCCAUGAAUGUCACCUCAUAGGGUGAAAAAAGGGCCGUUGCAAAUGUGAUUAAGGUGAGAAUCUGGAGGUGGGGAGAUUACUCUGGAUUAUCUGGAUGGGUCCCAAAUGCAAACACAGAUCUCCUUCUAAGAGAUAGGCAGAGAUCUGACACACACAGAGGAGGAGGCGAUGUGACCCCAGAGGCAAAGACAGGAAUGAUGCAGCCACAAGCCAAGGAGUGUCAGCAGCCACCAGAAGCUAGAAGAGAGAGGCAAGGAGCAGACUCUCCCCGAGAGCCUCUGGAAGGAGCGCAGCCCUGCUGACACACCUUGGUACUCACUUCAGACCCCUGGCCUCCAGAACUGGGAGAGAAUAAAUUUCUGUUGUUUUAAGCCACCUAGGUAGGCGGUAAUUUGUUACAGCAGCUACAGGAAACUAAUACAAGGAAUGACAAGACAGUGGCCUGAACUUGGUAGUGGCAGCAAAGAUGGAGAAAAGUGGCCACGUGAGGGAAAUAUUUAGGAGAUUGAACUGCAGUAAAUGAUGGGAUAACUGGGAUCAACUUUGUACCCCCAAAAAGUGGGGGGGAGAAGAUAUAAAAAAUGUAACAUUCCAGUGGGUUAUCAAGAUACACAGAGUACCCACCGCACAUCGACUAUCGCUGGGCUGUUUGCUAAGAACAGCAGUCUUUCCUAAUUUGAUAGAUAAUCAAGGUAAAGGGGAGGGAUUAAGGGGCAAGGGACUGUGCUAUUGUCUUUGUUGCUGCUAAUGAUGAUAAUGUCUCCUGGAAAGCAGAAAAAGAUCAAGAAUAAUGCAUGGGUUUUGGCAUCAGCUGGGCUUCAGGCUCCAGCUCCACCAUCUGCUAGUGGAGCAGGGCAUGUAUCCAAACAGUUUGCUCCUCUGUAGUAUGAGGAUAACAAUAUCUACGACCUGGAGCUAUAGGGAGGAAUGAUGGAAAUAAUGCAGGAGCACUGCAUGAAGGCUGUCAAUAUUAAGAAGUACCAAGCCCAUGCUUAGUGGCCUCGAUGGAGGACCCUGAGAUGGGAAAUUAUUCCAGCUUCGAGGACUCUUAAGUGGGUAUUUAAGCAGAUGUUGCUGCCUAACCACUUCCAGAUGGAUUUAUUCUUUAUCUUUUGGCUGCGUUGGGCCUUUAUUACUGCAUGCAGGCUUUUCUCUAGUUGCGACCAGCGGGGGCUACUCUUCGUUGCGGUGCACGGGCUUCUCAUUGUGGUGGCUUCUCUUGUUGUGGAGCACAGGCUCUAGGCGUGGGCUUCAGUAGUUGUGGCAUGUGGGCUCAGUAGUUGUGGCUCAUGGGCUCUAGAGCGCAGGCUCAGUAGUUGUGGUGCACGGGCUUCGUUGCUCCGCGGCAUGUGGGAUCUUCCCGGACCAGGGCUUGAACCCGUGUCCCCUGCAUUGGCAGGCAGAUUCUUAACCACUGUGCCACCAGGGAAGCCCCCAGACUCUGUUUUAAUUGCUUUUACAUAUUGAAUCAUCAUAAUAAAUCUAUGAGGGAGAUACUAUUAACGUUCCCGUUAUAUGGAUGAGAAAAAAGGAAGGAUAUAUUUUGGUUCUCCUUUUUAACCUGCCUCUUAAUAAUUUGAAACCACUUUUAGAUGAUCUAGACACUAGCUUGCUGCUAAAGAGAAUGGAAAAACAAGUCUGUUCUUUCACAUCAAGACUCUAGGAACGGCCUCAAUAACAAAAGGUCCCCACCAUCUUUCAUCAGGAAAAAUGGCUCAAGAUCAACUACCAUGAAGCCCAAGUUAUCACUUUUGACACAAAAUGUAAUUGACCGAAUUCAACUACCCUACAGUCCAAUUCAUUUCAUUAUUUAGGGGCACAGUUUGCAACUAAUUUAUUCUUAAAAUUUUAACAUUCACUUAUAAUUUUACAUUGCAUCCAUGUACCACUGGAAAUUUUUCUCUGGAUGUAAAGAGAAAUUGGUAACUAUUACUUAAGAUUUUUCAUUAUUCCCAUGCUUCCCAGAGUGGAAUUUUCAAGCCUUGAUUGUUAUUUGUUCAGGUGUUGGAACUGACUUAAAACAGUUUUCUAUGGAAAAUCCUGGGCCUGCCCACAGGCAUGGCCUCGGGUCAUGCUGUAGGAGUGGAGGUGACUCCCUUAGCCAAGUCCUGGGUCGACUUCUAAGUUUUUAUAGAAAAACAUCAAUCCUACCUUCAAUUUGGCUGAUUUUUAAAUAUGUGGAUGUGGCCUUAAUCUGCGAUAUAUAAUAAUUGCUCGCCAGGCCCUUGCCAAAGAAUGUACCUUUGAACUGUUGGCUGCCUAGUUUUCAUCAAAAUCACGCAUGCCAGAAAUAACUGUUCCUACAGGAAAGGAGCCGGAUAAUUGGACAUCAGAGAUUUUAGCCCCAGAGAAUCGCUCCUACUGAACUGUGCUGUCAUCAGGUCUCCAAAAUGCACUAAGAAUCCCAGAAAUCAGGUUACCACUGUGUUUGUUAUAAGGACACGAUUGAAGACCCUAAGUAGCCCAGUUUACCCUUUAUGAGGACUCAGGACCUGACAGCAAGGAAGAAGCAUGUCUGCGGCAACAACCCCCUUUUCUCUUUCAAGCACUGAGUCUCGGAACUUCUUUAUUUGGCUGCAGAAAGAUGAGAGCUGAAUCCAAGGCCCAACUGUAUUUAUUUCAUAAGAUAUUACAGCAUAAAUUUCUAUGUGCUAAGUCUCUCUGUGGUCUCAUCUAGUUUUUCUUCAAUUACCCUUGACCUAGAUUUCUUUUAAAUUCUAUUCAUAAGAAAUGCUUAUCUUAUUUUCAUCAUCAUUAUUCUUUUAAGCCACAACACAUCCUUUUGGGAAGACAGUUGAGGUGUUUGAAUAUGUUUAUGUAUACAUAUAAAUGAAUAUAUUCACAAAUUGAUUGGCAUGAGAUAAAUUUGAGUGUUUAUUUACAUUAAUUUUAUCAUUCUGUCAUUAACUGGCCAACACUUUUUUUUUUCUUUUGGCCCCACUAAGAGGCUUUUGGGAUCUUAGUUCCCCGACCAGGGAUCGAACCCGGGCCCUUGGCAAUGAAAGCGCGGAGUCCUAACCACUGGACCUCCAGGGAACUCCCUGGCCAACUGCUUGAGGGCAGAGGACCAGACUCCCUCUUUGCCAGAGUAUCUCCAGCACCAGCUUGGAGGCCACCUCCCUCCUUCAUCUGCUCAUCACAUAAAGUAGCUGACCUGUCCCUAGGGGCCUUUUUGUUUGAAAAAUAGGCAGCUUAGAAUACCAGCUUGUAAGAUGCAUGGGAAUAAGAACUUCACUUGGGGGCAUAAAUGCACAUGCGACUACAGAGGGCAGGUUGGCCUGCUCUCAGUGAACUGCUAUUUUUCUCACCCUUUUUUACACGAGUGCAUAGGAAUGAAUUCAGUUAAAUUAAAUACGCACCUCCUACAGCACUCAAAAGGGCUCUGAGUGAGGCGAGUGAGAACAUAUCCCCCUCCCCCAUAUAAUCCUCAAGAAAAUCUCUGUUGUAGUCUGGGUAGGGGAGUUAUAAACAUAUCUUUUCAAUUGUGGUAAAAUAUACAUAUAAAAUUUACCAUUUUAACCGUUUUUACAUGUAUAGUUCAGUGGCAUUAAAUACAUUCACAUUGUUGUGCAACCCUCACCACCAUCCUUUCACAGGACUCUUUUCAUCUGAAAUUCUGUCCCCAUUAAACAAUACCUCCCCAUUCUCCCCAGCCCACAGCUCCUGGUAAGCACCAAUACUUUCUGGUUCUAUAAAUUUGACUAUUCUAAGUAAUUUAUAUUAGUAGAAUCAUACAGGACUUGUCCUUUUGUGACUGGCUUAUUUCAUUUAACAUAAUGUCUUCAAGAUUCACCCAUGUUGUAGCAUGUGGAAGCCCUUUCUUCCUUUUUAAGCCUGAAUAAUAUUCCAUUGUACUGAUAUACUAUUUUGUUUAUCCAUUCAUCUGUCAAUAGACACUUGGAUUGUUUCCAAUUUUUGGCUACUAUGAAUAAUGCUGCUGUGAACACAGGUAUACAAAAUAUCUGCUCAAGUCCCUGCUUUCAAUUUUUUUGUUGGGUCAUAUGGUAACUCUAUUUUCAAUUUUUGGAGGAAUCACCAUACUGUUUUUCAUUGCAGCUGUACCAUUUUGCAUUCCCAAAAGCAGUGCACAAGAGUUCCAAUUUCUCCACACCCUCACCAACACUUGUUAUUUUCUUU
This is a non-coding RNA of Kogia breviceps (pygmy sperm whale), 5069 nucleotides long. The record is from RefSeq and is a predicted model, not a curated record. Lineage: Eukaryota; Metazoa; Chordata; Mammalia; Artiodactyla; Physeteridae.